This 949-nucleotide non-coding RNA is filed under the name Acentrogobius caninus (tropical sand goby). RNAcentral's name for it is "12S ribosomal RNA". It matches the Rfam family "Bacterial small subunit ribosomal RNA". Lineage: Eukaryota; Metazoa; Chordata; Actinopteri; Gobiiformes; Gobiidae. The record is from RNAcentral.
CAUAAGCUUGGUCCUGACUUUACUGUCAGCUUUGAUAAGAUUUAUACAUGCAAGUUUCCGCACCCCCGUGCGAAUGCCCUCUUGCAACCACACCGGAACAGAGGAGCAGGCAUCAGGCACGAGCACGUCUUUGCCCACAACGCCUUGCUUAGCCACACCCCCACGGGUAAUCAGCAGUAAUAGACAUUAAGCCAUGAGUGCAAGCUCGACUUAGUUAAUAUCAAAUAGGGCCGGUAAAACUCGUGCCAGCCACCGCGGUUAUACGAGAGGCCCAAGUUGACAAAACUCGGCGUAAAGCGUGGUUGAUAGUAUAAAACACUAAAGCCGAACACCUUUAAAACCGUCAUACGUACUUAAAGGCAGGAAGACCUACAACGAAAGUGGCUUUAAUAAAUAUGAACCUACGAAAGCUAAGACACAAACUGGGAUUAGAUACCCCACUAUGCCUAGCCCUAAACAAAAACAACCCCAUACAACAACCGUUCGCCAGGGAACAACGAGCCCCAGCUUAAAACCCAAAGGACUUGGCGGUGCUUUAGACCCCCCUAGAGGAGCCUGUUCUAGAACCGAUACUCCCCGUUCAACCUCACCAUCCCUUGCCCUUCCCGCCUAUAUACCGCCGUCGUCAGCUUACCCUGUGAAGGCCUAAUAGUAAGCAAAACCGGUAAAACCUAAAACGUCAGGUCGAGGUGUAGCGUAUGAGAUGGAAAGAAAUGGGCUACAUUUACUGUUCCAGUAAACACGAAUGCUGUGCUGAAAUAAGCAGUUGAAGGAGGAUUUAGCAGUAAGAGGGGAAUAGAGCGCCCCCCUGAAAACGGCCCUGAAGCGCGCACACACCGCCCGUCACUCUCCCCAACAUAAAUAUAUACAAUAAAUAAUAAAUCAUAAAACGCAAGGGGAGGCAAGUCGUAACAUGGUAAGUGUACCGGAAGGUGCACUUGGAAAAACC